Molecule: ribosomal RNA, 164 nt
Filed under: uncultured bacterium
Lineage: Bacteria
Description: partial 16S rRNA
Rfam family: Bacterial small subunit ribosomal RNA
Source: RNAcentral
UAGGGAAUCUCCCACAAUGGACGCAAGUCUGAUGGAGCAACGCCGCGUGAGUGAAGAAGGGUUUCGGCUCGUAAAGCUCUGUUGUUAAAGAAGAACGUGGGUAAGAGUAACUGUUUACCCAGUGACGGUAUUUAACCAGAAAGCCACGGCUAACUACGUGUCAG